UACGAAGGGGGCUAGCGUUGCUCGGAAUCACUGGGCGUAAAGGGCGCGUAGGCGGCCAUUUAAGUCGGGGGUGAAAGCCUGUGGCUCAACCACAGAAUUGCCUUCGAUACUGGAUGGCUUGAGUUUGGUAGAGGUUGGUGGAACUGCGAGUGUAGAGGUGAAAUUCGUAGAUAUUCGCAAGAACACCGGUGGCGAAGGCGGCCAACUGGACCAAUACUGACGCUGAGGCGCGAAAGCGUGGGGAGCAAACAGG
This 253-nucleotide ribosomal RNA is filed under the name uncultured bacterium. RNAcentral's name for it is "partial 16S ribosomal RNA". It matches the Rfam family "Bacterial small subunit ribosomal RNA", at positions 524 to 776 of the family's 1533-position model. The record is from RNAcentral.